CCUACGGGAGGCAGCAGUAGGGAAUCUUGCACAAUGGGGGAAACUCUGACGCAGCGACGCCGCGUGAGUGAAGAAGGAUUUCGGUAUGUAAAGCUCUAUCAUCAGGGAAGAAAAUGACGGUACCUGACUAAGAAGCCCCUGCUAACUACGUGCCAGCAGCCGCGGUAAUACGUAGGGGGCAAGCGUUCUCCGGAUUUACUGUGUGUAAAGGGAGUGGAGACGGCCAGACAAGUCAGAAGUGAAAGCCCAGGGCUCAACCCUGGGACUGCUUUUGAAACUGCCGGGCUGGAGUGCAGGAGAGGUAAGCGGAAUUCCAAGUGUAGCGGUGAAAUGCGUAGAUAUUAGGAGGAACACCAGUGGCGAAGGCGGCUUACUGGACUGUAACUGACGUUGAGGCUCGAAAGCGUGGGGAGCAAACAGGAUUAGAUACCCGUGUAGUC
Molecule: ribosomal RNA, 440 nt
Filed under: uncultured bacterium
Lineage: Bacteria
Description: partial 16S ribosomal RNA
Rfam family: Bacterial small subunit ribosomal RNA
Source: RNAcentral